UACGGAGGGUGCAAGCGUUAUCCGGAUUUACUGGGUUUAAAGGGUGCGUAGGUGGACUUGUAAGUCAGCGGUGAAAUCUCCGAGCUUAACUCGGAAACUGCCAUUGAUACUAUAAGUCUUGAGUGUUCUGGAGGUGAGCGGAAUAUGUCAUGUAGCGGUGAAAUGCUUAGAUAUGACAUAGAACACCAAUUGCGAAGGCAGCUUACUACACAGUUAUUGACACUGAGGCACGAAAACGUGGGGAUCAAACAGG
Molecule: ribosomal RNA, 253 nt
Filed under: uncultured bacterium
Lineage: Bacteria
Description: partial 16S ribosomal RNA
Rfam family: Bacterial small subunit ribosomal RNA
Source: RNAcentral